UCCAUAUUCUAUUUCUCUUUUUCCCAUUUCAACCCUCCUACUCUCCUACGCUCCUCCUGACCUCUUGGUUCUCCAUUCUUUUAAAAUCAAAGGAAACCAUUUCUUUCCCCUUCUUUAACUCUCUGUCUGUAUCUCUCGAAUUCCCAAAAAAGCCAAACAACAAAGAUGGAAGAGAGAAGGACACAGAAAAUAGUGUGUGAAGACAGUGAGAGUCAGUCAUUUCCGUAGAACAAAAAAGUGAAAAACAACAUAGAGGGUCUCCCUCUCGCUCUGUCUGUGCCUCUCUGGCUUUCUCCCUUGCGUCCUUACUUCCUAGUUCUUGUUGGGUUUUCAGACUCUUCACCUAUUCUGCAGCAAUGGCUCGACAAGACUUGUCUUCCUCCUCUAUCUUAAUCCCCUUUUCUUCUUCUUCUUCCUCUUCCUCUUCCUCCAUUUCCCGCGAUGACCAAACUGCCCUUUCUCUGGUAGAGGACAUCUCUGUUGUGAGCGGAAGGCCCUUUUGGUGCGUCUUCAGAUGAGGCGUACAAUGUAGUUCUGUACAAUCCCCUCAUCAUAUAGAGUAGGAAAGGCACGCAGGAUGGAGCCAGGCAGUAGAACUUUCUUAGAUUUUCCUUUUAUACACAUAAGUACCAACCCCUCAACCCCACCCCACCCCACCCCACAUCACCUCACUUCACCUCCAUCUCCCUUUUUGUUCUUUCCAUUGCAGUCCCUUUUUUCCCCUACUUUAUUUUCAGAAGUAAAAAGAAAGAAGAAGAAGAAGAAGAAGAAGGAGAAGCAGCAGCUGGAGAAGGGUCGUCAUCGAACAUUGAUCAUCGUCGGUGGAAAUAACGCAGCGUGUAUGGUGUAAAUCGUAAUGGGUCUACCCAAUAUGGUGAUAUUUCCAACCAAUUGGAAUCACAAAAUAUAUUGCUAUCAGACCUCCUAUGUCAAAGCUGUUGGCUGCUUAUUGCCCAAUCCAGGGGGGGAAGUUGCAGUUGAUAAACCCUUAACACAUUAUGCUCCAGAUGCAUCUGCUAUGAAUUUUAGAUUCUUUACACUGGAAUCAGUGACAGAGUAUUUUCACUGGACAUGUUAGGACUUCAUUUGGCCUAUGUCCUUUGCUAUUCAACCUAUUUCCACUUUGUAGCCUCCCGAACGUAGAUCUUCUUGUAUGUCAACAUUUUAUGCAAUGAAUCAGUUGGAUAUUCUCGACCUUCU
Macadamia integrifolia is the source of this 1200-nucleotide long non-coding RNA. RefSeq lists it as uncharacterized. The record is from RefSeq and is a predicted model, not a curated record. The transcript is spliced from 2 exons. Lineage: Eukaryota; Viridiplantae; Streptophyta; Magnoliopsida; Proteales; Proteaceae.